Molecule: ribosomal RNA, 800 nt
Filed under: uncultured Arthrobacter sp.
Lineage: Bacteria; Bacillati; Actinomycetota; Actinomycetes; Micrococcales; Micrococcaceae
Description: bacterial SSU rRNA
Rfam family: Bacterial small subunit ribosomal RNA
Source: RNAcentral
AUCCGGUGCUUGCACCGGGGAUUAGUGGCGAACGGGUGAGUAACACGUGAGUAACCUGCCCUUGACUCUGGGAUAAGCCUGGGAAACUGGGUCUAAUACCGGAUAUGACUCCUCAUCGCAUGGUGGGGGGUGGAAAGCUUUUGCGGUUUUGGAUGGACUCGCGGCCUAUCAGCUUGUUGGUGAGGUAAUGGCUCACCAAGGCGACGACGGGUAGCCGGCCUGAGAGGGUGACCGGCCACACUGGGACUGAGACACGGCCCAGACUCCUACGGGAGGCAGCAGUGGGGAAUAUUGCACAAUGGGCGAAAGCCUGAUGCAGCGACGCCGCGUGAGGGAUGACGGCCCUCGGGUUGUAAACCUCUUUCAGUAGGGAAGAAGCGAAAGUGACGGUACCUGCAGAAGAAGCGCCGGCUAACUACGUGCCAGCAGCCGCGGUAAUACGUAGGGCGCAAGCGUUAUCCGGAAUUAUUGGGCGUAAAGAGCUCGUAGGCGGUUUGUCGCGUCUGCCGUGAAAGUCCGGGGCUCAACUCCGGAUCUGCGGUGGGUACGGGCAGACUAGAGUGAUGUAGGGGAGACUGGAAUUCCUGGUGUAGCGGUGAAAUGCGCAGAUAUCAGGAGGAACACCGAUGGCGAAGGCAGGUCUCUGGGCAUUAACUGACGCUGAGGAGCGAAAGCAUGGGGAGCGAACAGGAUUAGAUACCCUGGUAGUCCAUGCCGUAAACGUUGGGCACUAGGUGUGGGGGACAUUCCACGUUUUCCGCGCCGUAGCUAACGCAUUAAGUGCCCCGCCUGGGGAGUAC